AAGAAGAAGAAUCCAAUGCCGUUUUCCAAAAUAGUAUAGCAUAUUUAGUCUUUGAGAUAUUGGCAGUUACAAAUGCACGAUUUUGACGAUUUUAGUCAACUUGCAUGCAAGUUUACAAGCUUUAAUGACGAUUUAUUUACUUAUUUUAUCACAGAACUGAAUUUUAUUGCGUUGAAGAAUGUUUAUCAACAAAUUUUGUAAUAUUUUCAAAGCCCAAAACCUACUUUUUCCAUUCAUUUCUUUUAGUUGUUCAGACAGCGCAAAAGAACGAAGUGAAUUUUGCAAAAAAUGACUUUAAGCAUGUUCUUGAAGGAGAGGAAUUUUCGACGCUAUUUGUGGAAAUUUUUGGUCGGAAUUCUUAAGAAAACGAAUUUAGCAAAUUUGAGUGAAAUUCCUGACAGAAUACAUAAUUUAAUUAUAACUCAGAAAUCAUAGGGAAAUUUACUGGCAGAAUUCUUGGCACAUAUGUUGGAAUUUCUACCUAAAUUCCUAAUAUUAAUACUAAAAAAACACUUCCUUAAUUGUUUGAUGGAAUUCCUCGCGGGACUUCCUACGAAUUCUUUGAAUAAUGUUUGUUUGGAACUCCAGAAAAAAAAUGUGCAUUAUAUUCUGGAAAAAAAAUGUUAAAAUUUCUUCAAAGGGUGGCUCGGAGAUCCCUUUUAGCUUUCCGCUGAUAAUCUUACGUCAAAAUCGUCCAAAAUUUGUCCAAAUUCAACCAAAUAUAAUUUCCUAAAUUUUGCUUCAAUUUGCAACACAGUUUUCUCUUAAAACUCAACAAAUAGAAUUCAUCAGAAUUUCUACACAAUGUUCUCCAGAAAGUUCAACAGGAAUGUUUUCUUCUCUCGGUACCUUUAUUUUGAGAAGCCAUUUCAUAUUUUCGCAAAAAUAGUGACUUUAGUGACCAUUUUACUGAAAAAUCGACUUUAGUGCGUUUAUUGAUGCAAAUAGUGGCUUUUUAGUGACCAAGAGCAGGAAAGGACCCGUGCAUAGGAAACGACCUGCGAAUGGUCCCAUACCUUCAGCUUACAAAUCAGAACAGAUUGACUUUGAACUACCAACACUGUCGCAUAACGCAAAACGGAUAAUCGCUCAAAAUUCCUUGCCAAUGAACAAAUCCCCGUAGAGGUGAUUACAAUCGGAGUUAAUGUCCAAAUAAUGACCAAAAUGGAGAAUUAAUAAUAACCGGAUUGCUGACUAAACUUCUAAAACCAACGUCCGUCAGAUCUACGAAGUCAUUCGUGCCCUUUCAAACUAAUAAGAAUGAAGUGUUUCGUCUACGCUCUUUAUCUGCUAGUGCUCGUAUCGGUAGAAACGAGUGCUACAAGAUGUGUACCCAAUGCGUCGGAAAUUAAAAAACCUGUGCCCAUACAUAGACCACUACCUACUGUGAUACCGAAAGUCCCAGGAAUUCCUCACAGCAUGCCUAAUGAAGAACAAACAAUUGACGUUGCGAGACGAACGUUGGCUCCCGGAAUCCGCUGGAAAAGGUCGAUUGCCGCCGAAAGAAUUCCGAAAGCGAAAGCAGAGAACCUCGGUUUCUAACCUAACUGGAAUAAUUGGACUAAUCUCAAAACCUGAAGAAUUUCAUCAUUUAUAAAAUACAGUAUACAGUGCGAAUCAUUAUGGUUCAAACAUUGAAGCGUGAUCAAAUUGAAAAUUCUUCUUUUCAUCAGAAUAAUUUAGAGAGCAACGUCUAGUUUCUGCCAUAACCUUGGUAUACGAGAAACACUAAACAUCAAAAUCCCAAUCGAAUUGUAAAUAACAGAGUUUGAAUCUUGAUUGACCGCCCUCGGUGAUUGGAGCAUGACUUCUAAAUUUUUCAACUUUGUCCGGUAUUGGGUGCUGACCGGUACUGCGAAAAGCGCGGUUGUUGCACUAUGGUCAAAUUCAUUUCUCGAACGCGUGCACGGAAAACAAUGACAAUUGUGAUUGAACACUAAAAAAAAGUCACCGAAUAACUAAAGUGUAUGCAAUAAUGAUUAUUUUCUAUUCUUCUUUCAUUCAUUCUGAGAUUCUCUCGGAAGUUCAUCUAUCAUUAUAAAUUGAAUCACUCUAGGAUUCUUCAAAAAACACUCACAGCUUUCUGGGAUUCUUUGGAAAAUCCUCUUGAGGUUCUUCGUAAAAUCUCACUGAGAUUCUUCCUGGAACCGUAAAUUUCUCUAGAAUUAUCCCAAAAAUCUCUGAAGUUCUUCCGGUAAUCCUCAUGGAAUUCUUUAUAAGAAAUCCUUCUGAAAUUUAUCAGGAAAUCUCUCUGUAAUUCUUUCAUAAACCUAUCUCGAGCUGUUCCGUCCAAAAAUCCUUCUUGGGUUAUUCCGGAAAUGCUUCUAGAAUUCCUCUUUAUGAAAGUACAGAAAAUCUUCCAAGAAUCCCUGUGAGAUUCUUCCGAAAACUCCAUCUGGAAUUCUUCCAUAAAUCUCUUGGAAAUUCCUCUUAGUUUCUUUCCGAAAUCCUUCUGAAACUAUUAUAGUUAUCUCAUUGAUCGCUCUAUGAUUUUUCCGAAAAUCUUCCUUCUUUUGGAUUAUCUUGAAAAUUCCUUUUGGAUUUUUAUGAAAAUUCUUCCGGGUUUUUUUCCGUACAAUUUCCCUGGAAUACUGCCGAAAAUGUUUCGAUGAUUACUUUCCUGAAGGAUGAAAUUCUAUUAAAAAAAAUCUGGGAUUCUUCUGAAUAUCUUUUGAAGAUUUUUCCAGAAAACUUUCGGGGUUUCUUACAAAAAUCCCUCAGGAUUUCUUCCGGAAAUCCAUCCGAAAUUAUUGUAUUAAAACCUCUGAGUUUUUUCCACAAAUCCAUCAGUAAUUCAUUCGUGAAUGUCCCUGGAACUUUUUUGGAUAUCCCUUUUAGAUUCUCUCAGGAUUAUUCAAAUUUUUCUGGGAUUCUCCCAGAAAUCCGUCUGAAACUACAGUAAAAUAUCUAUUCUUGCGCUGUCAGAUUAUUCCGUUCAAAUUCUAGAGAUUUUUCCGAAAAUCCCUAUUGAAUACUUCUAAAACCAUGUUAAAUUUUUUCCAGAUAUCUCUUGGUUUAUUUGACAU
Molecule: long non-coding RNA, 3026 nt
Filed under: Aedes aegypti (yellow fever mosquito)
Lineage: Eukaryota; Metazoa; Arthropoda; Insecta; Diptera; Culicidae
Description: lncRNA AAEL023522
Source: RNAcentral